This 434-nucleotide ribosomal RNA is filed under the name uncultured bacterium. Its description in RNAcentral is "partial 16S ribosomal RNA". It matches the Rfam family "Bacterial small subunit ribosomal RNA", at positions 29 to 507 of the family's 1533-position model. The record is from RNAcentral.
AGCGAACGCUGGCGGCAGGCCUAACACAUGCAAGUCGAACGAACCUUUCGGGGUUAGUGGCGGACGGGUGAGUAACACGUGGGAACGUGCCUUUAGGUUCGGAAUAACUCAGGGAAACUUGUGCUAAUACCGAAUGUGCCCUUCGGGGGAAAGAUUAAUCGCCUUUAGAGCGGCCCGCGUCUGAUUAGCUAGUUGGUUGAGGUAAUGGCUCACCAAGGCGACGAUCAGUAGCUGGUCUGAGAGGAUGAUCAGCCACAUUGGGACUGAGACACGGCCCAAACUACUACGGGAGGCAGGAGUGGGGAAUCUUGCGCAAUGGGCGAAAGCCUGACGCAGCCAUGCCGCGUGAAUGAUGAAGGUCUUAGGAUUGUAAAAUUCUUUAACCGGGGACGAUAAUGACGGUACCCGGAGAAGAAGCCCCGGCUAACUUCGUG